GAUGAACGCUGGCGGCGUGCCUAACACAUGCAAGUCGAACGGAGUCGUUUUGGAAAUCUCUUCGGAGAUGGAAUUCUCGACUUAGUGGCGGACGGGUGAGUAACGCGUGAGCAAUCUGCCUUUAAGAGGGGGAUAACAGUCGGAAACGGCUGCUAAUACCGCAUAAAGCAUUAAAUUCGCAUGUUUUUGAUGCCAAAGGAGCAAUCCGCUUUUAGAUGAGCUCGCGUCUGAUUAGCUAGUUGGCGGGGUAACGGCCCACCAAGGCGACGAUCAGUAGCCGGACUGAGAGGUUGAACGGCCACAUUGGGACUGAGACACGGCCCAGACUCCUACGGGAGGCAGCAGUGGGGAAUAUUGCGCAAUGGGGGAAACCCUGACGCAGCAACGCCGCGUGAUUGAAGAAGGCCUUCGGGUUGUAAAGAUCUUUAAUCAGGGACGAAACAAAUGACGGUACCUGAAGAAUAAGCUCCGGCUAGCUACGUG
RNAcentral lists this ribosomal RNA (483 nucleotides) under uncultured bacterium. RNAcentral's name for it is "partial 16S ribosomal RNA". It matches the Rfam family "Bacterial small subunit ribosomal RNA", at positions 28 to 507 of the family's 1533-position model. The record is from RNAcentral.